RNAcentral lists this ribosomal RNA (254 nucleotides) under uncultured bacterium. RNAcentral's name for it is "partial 16S ribosomal RNA". It matches the Rfam family "Bacterial small subunit ribosomal RNA", at positions 524 to 776 of the family's 1533-position model. The record is from RNAcentral.
UACGUAGGGGGCAAGCGUUAUCCGGAAUUACUGGGCGUAAAGAGCUCGUAGGCGGUCUGUCGCGUCGGUCGUGAAAACUUGGGGCUUAACCCUGAGCUUGCGGUCGAUACGGGCAUGACUGGAGUUCGGUAGGGGAGACUGGAAUUCCUGGUGUAGCGGUGAAAUGCGCAGAUAUCAGGAGGAACACCGGUGGCGAAGGCGGGUCUCUGGGCCGAUACUGACGCUGAGGAGCGAAAGCCUGGGGAGCGAACAGG